GGAAUUUCUACAAAAAGUAUUUGGACUUUUUCUGAGUCCCUGUGGACGCGCUAAUAAAUUAUGUUGUGUCCAUUGUCAAUUUUUAUGCAUAUAGGACACAGGAAUUUGUGUCCUGUAAAUCCCGGAAUAUUAACUUUGCA
Molecule: long non-coding RNA, 140 nt
Organism: Haliotis rubra (blacklip abalone)
Lineage: Eukaryota; Metazoa; Mollusca; Gastropoda; Lepetellida; Haliotidae
Exons: 3
Source: RefSeq, a predicted model, not a curated record